UCUACGGGUGGCAGCAGUGGUGAAUCUUCCUCAAUGGGCGCAAGCCUGACGGAGCAACGCCGCGUGAAUGAAGAAGGUCUUCGGAGCGUAAAGUUCUGUUCUUAGGGAAGAAGUCUUAGGUUGUGAAUAAUGACUUAAGGUGACGGUACCUAUGGAGAAAGCUCCGGCUAACUACGUGCCAGCAGCCGCGGUAAUACGAAGGGAGCGAACGUUGUCCGGAAUUACUGGGCGUAAAGGGCGCGUAGGCGUGAACUUAAGUGAGAUGUGAAAACUCCGGGCUUAACAUGGAGACUGCAUUUAAAACUGGGUUGCUUGAGGGCAGGAGAGGAAAGUGGAAUUCCUAGGGUAGGGGUGAAAUGCGUAGAUAUUAGGAGGAACACCAGUGGCGACGGCGACUUUCUGGACUGUACCUGACGCUGAGGCGCGAAAGCAUGGGGAGCGAACAGGAGUAGAUACCCCAGUAGUC
This 466-nucleotide ribosomal RNA is filed under the name uncultured bacterium. RNAcentral's name for it is "partial 16S ribosomal RNA". It matches the Rfam family "Bacterial small subunit ribosomal RNA", at positions 338 to 795 of the family's 1533-position model. The record is from RNAcentral.